CGGGGGGCGAAGCGUUGUUCGGAAUUACUGGGCGGUAAAGGGUAGGCGUAGGCGGCUUUUUAAGUUCGGAUGUGAAAACUACUGGGCGUCAACCCACGAGCCUGCAUCCGAAACUGGAGAGCUCGGGUUCUGGAGGGGAAAGCGGAAUUCCUGGUGUAGCAGUGAAAUGCGUAGAUAUCAGGAGGAACACCGGUGGCGAAGGCGGCUUUCUGGACAGAUACCGACGCUGAGGCACGAAAGCUAGGGGAGCAAACAGGAUUAGAUACCCUGGUAGUCCUAGCCCUAAACGAUGGAUACUUGCUGUGAGGGGGAUUGAAGCCCCUUGUGGCGAAGCUAACGCAUUAAGUAUCCCGCCUGGGGAGUACGGUCGCAAGGCUG
This 378-nucleotide ribosomal RNA is filed under the name uncultured organism. RNAcentral's name for it is "bacterial SSU rRNA". It matches the Rfam family "Bacterial small subunit ribosomal RNA", at positions 527 to 896 of the family's 1533-position model. The record is from RNAcentral.